This 45-nucleotide non-coding RNA is filed under the name Schistosoma mansoni. Lineage: Eukaryota; Metazoa; Platyhelminthes; Trematoda; Strigeidida; Schistosomatidae. The record is from RNAcentral.
AUUAAGCUGAAGAGUUUCAAAUAGGACGAAAUGUGCAUCCUGGAU